This 485-nucleotide ribosomal RNA is filed under the name uncultured bacterium. Its description in RNAcentral is "partial 16S ribosomal RNA". It matches the Rfam family "Bacterial small subunit ribosomal RNA", at positions 899 to 1397 of the family's 1533-position model. The record is from RNAcentral.
ACUCAAAUGAAUUGACGGGGGCCCGCACAAGCAGCGGAGCGUGUGGUUUAAUUCGAUGUUACACGAAGAACCUUACCAGGGUUUGACAUGCAGGUAGUAGGGAACGGAAACGGGACCGACCCUUCGGGGAGCCUGCACAGGUGCUGCAUGGCUGUCGUCAGCUCGUGUCGUGAGAUGUUCGGUUAAGUCCGCUAACGAGCGCAACCCUCGCUGUGUGUUAUACGUGUCACACGGGACUGCCGGUCUUAAGCCGGAGGAAGGUGGGGAUGACGUCAAGUCAGCAUGGCCUUUAUGUCCUGGGCUACACACACGCUACAAUGGGCAGUACAAUGGGUUGCUAAGCCGCGAGGUAGAGCCAAUCCCCAAAGCUGUCCUCAGUUCAGAUCGCAGGCUGCAACUCGCCUGCGUGAAGACGGAGUUGCUAGUAAACGCAGGUCAGCUAUACUGCGUUGAAUACGUUCCCGGGCCUUGUACACACCGCCCGU